Molecule: ribosomal RNA, 253 nt
Filed under: uncultured bacterium
Lineage: Bacteria
Description: partial 16S ribosomal RNA
Rfam family: Bacterial small subunit ribosomal RNA
Source: RNAcentral
UACGUAGGGUGCAAGCGUUAAUCGGAAUUACUGGGCGUAAAGCGUGCGCAGGCGGUUUUGUAAGUCUGUCGUGAAAUUCCCGGGCUUAACCUGGGAAUGGCGAUGGAGACUGCAAGGCUAGAGUUUGGCAGAGGGGGGUAGAAUUCCACGUGUAGCAGUGAAAUGCGUAGAGAUGUGGAGGAACACCGAUGGCGAAGGCAGCCCCCUGGGUCAAGACUGACGCUCAUGCACGAAAGCGUGGGGAGCAAACAGG